CUUGGGGGGAGGCCAGGUAGGAAGGAGGUGGUAGUGGGAGCUGGAGCAUCCUGAGCACCAGGAUGGGCUUGGCAUGACGUGGAAGCAGUUACUGGUAGUCCACUUCCUGCCUUUGGCCAGGACCCCAGUCUGGUUAUAGGUUUAUCCUUUCCAGCAUUGUGUCCCUAACUAGUCAUUGCUCUAGGACAGCCCCAUCCUUACCCCAACUAUGCCAUUAUCUACCUAGUAUUUUAAGAAUAAGUUUUAAAUAAAUUACUUUCAAUAAGUGUAAUUAAAAAGGAGCUUUAUAUCACUAUCAUAAAUAGAAAAACCUGUUUGUUAUUUUCCAUAAUUAAAAAACUAGCUGUAAGCAAGCAAAACAGUGUUAUUAAACCUGAGCCGGAUACUCUUGUCUGAUGAAGACUCUGAACUUGAGUCCUCAUUCCCUUCCCUUAAGGCGGUGGUUCUCAACCUUCUGGCCCUUUAAAUACAGUUCCUCGUGUUGUGACCCAACCAUAAAAUUAUUUUCGUUGCUACUUCAUAACUGUAAUGUUGCUACUCUUAUGAAUCGUAAUGUAAAUAUCUGAUAUGCAGGAUGGUCUUAGGCAACCCCUGUGGAAGGGUCGUUCAACCCCAAAGGUGUCUCGACCCCCAGGUUGAGAACCGCUACCUUAAGGGAAACUAACACAUACCAGAAAGGCCUUAAAGACAUACUAG
Molecule: long non-coding RNA, 696 nt
Organism: Myotis daubentonii (Daubenton's bat)
Lineage: Eukaryota; Metazoa; Chordata; Mammalia; Chiroptera; Vespertilionidae
Source: RefSeq, a predicted model, not a curated record